This 263-nucleotide unclassified non-coding RNA is filed under the name plant metagenome. RNAcentral describes it as "partial contains small subunit ribosomal RNA, internal transcribed spacer 1, and 5.8S ribosomal RNA". The record is from RNAcentral.
UUUCCGUAGGUGAACCUGCGGAAGGAUCAUUAUUGUAUAACCGAGGUGCGAGGGCUGUCGCUGACCCGAAAGGUCGUGCACGCCAGAGUGCCCUCACACACAUCCAUCUCACCCCUAUGUGCACCACCGCGUGGGUCCCCCUUUGGCUUGUUCGGAGGGGGGCUUACGUUUUCACACAAACUUUGUAUGCAGUGUAGAAUGUAUUUUUUGUUUUUGCGAUCACGCAAUCAAUACAACUUUCAACAACGGAUCUCUUGGCUCUC